This 303-nucleotide unclassified non-coding RNA is filed under the name uncultured bacterium. RNAcentral's name for it is "contains 16S-23S intergenic spacer region". The record is from RNAcentral.
CCUUUGUCCUCAAAGCCUCCGCCCAACUCCAUUCCCUCUCCCUCGCCCAAUCCCUUCACUCCCAAGCCCUCAAAUUCGGUCUUUUACCCGAUUUAUUCUCACUCAACACCCUCAUAGGUGUCUACUCCAUCCACCACCGCGUCAACGAUGCCCACAAACUGUUCUACGAAUGUCCCCACGGAGAUGUCGUCUCCUACAACGCCUUGAUUCAUGGGCUCGUCAAAACCCGCCAGAUUUCCCGCGCUCGGGAACUGUUCGACGAAAUGCCCGUGAGAGAUGAAAUAUCAUGGGGCACCAUGAUAG